GUGCCCGUGUUACGAUCUAUCCAGCGAAUUCUAGAGGAAGUGGAAGAACAGAGUAAGAACGGGAGGAACAGAGGAGGAAAUGUCAAAAUAGAGAAGAAGGUUUGAUUUGGGGAAUAGUUUUGUGUUUUGUGUUUACACUUUCGACACCCUCUUCUCUCUUAGCCCUCUGGUAUUUAUACACCAUACCAGAACAUCAUUGGACUGUGACCCAUUCUGGCCCACUCACACGGACAUUAGGUUUCUUAGCCCGCGUAGGACGCCGAUAGCUUCUCAGCGGAUUGCCUUUGUCGAUAUCUGCUACAGGCAGCGUAACAUUCUCCCCCCCUUCAGACUCGGCUUGUCCCCAAGCCGGUGCAGCAGGAAAACGGACCCGAAGAGAUUCAGCAUCCUCCCAAGUCGCCUCAUCCACACCAUGGCCAAACCAACGCACCUUGAAUUGAGGACGCACGGCAGCUCCAAGCUUGUACAGACGACGCACCAAUAUCUGCAUCGGAACUGAAGAAUCCGGAGCCAGUGCAGCAGGUAACUUGACAACCGUCGCAGAAUCCGGUGGAGGCGCCUGACGAAGCUGAGAUACAUGGAUAACAGGGUGAAUAGAACAACCUGGGGGUAAUUGCAAUCGGUAAGCCACUGCACCCACUCGAGCAGUUACUUGAAACGGUCCAAAGUAGCGAAAAGCUAACUUGUGAUUAGAACGAACUGCCAAAGAAGUCUGCGCAUAUGGUUGAGCUUUGAGAAAAACCCAAUCUCCCACCGCAAACUCUCGCUCAGAACGUUUCUUAUCUGCCUGAACCUUCAUACGCUGCUGAGCACGCAAUAAGUGUUGAAGCAGCAAACCUGAAACCAUUGCUCGUUCUUUCAACCACUCAGCAAGAUCAGGAACAGCAGCAGCAGAAAUGUCCAAUACACCAAAGUGACGAGGAGUGUGACCAUAGAGCACUUCAAAAGGAGAUGUGCCAAGAGCAGAGUGAUAAGCUGUAUUAUACCAAAACUCCGCUAGAGCCAACCAUCGGUACCACUUAGUAGGACAGGCAUGGACAAAGCAGCGAAGAAAAGUUUCAAGACACUGAUUGACACGCUCGGUUUGGCCAUCAGUUUGAGGAUGGUAUGCAGAACUCAUCUUGAGUUGAGUAUCUGUCAGUCGAAAUAACUCAGACCAAAGGGCACUGGUGAAAAUGCGAUCACGAUCCGAGAUAAUUGACUAUGGCAUACCAUGCAGUUUGUAUAUGUUGUUGAGAUAAGCCAGGGCCACAUCUAAAGCUAUGAAAGGGUGGGACAAUGCCACAAAAUGAGCAUAGCGAGAAAACUUGUCAACCACCACUAAAACACAAUCAAACCCCGUCGACUUUGGUAGUCCUAUGAAAUCAAGGGAAACAGUUUGCCAAGCAUGAUUGGGAACCGGAAGAGGCUGCAACAACCCCGGCUAAUGAACUCUUUCAGCUUUGGCCUGCUUACAGACUGAACAUUGAUCAAUAAAUUCCAGCACAGACUUCUUCAAUCCUUGCCAAGCAAAGAGUUUCUUUAUUCUGCUAUAAGUCACCUGCACCCCAGAAUGACCACCAAUAGCUCCAGAAUGCAAGGCUGAUAAAAUGCGAUGUUGCAGUGUAGUAUUGUUGCCAAUCCAAAUUUUGUUCUUAUAAUGCAAAAUGCCAUCCCGCAAGGAAAAAUUAGGUACAGCAGAAGCUUGUAAAGUCACCUUAGAUAACAAAUCAGCAGAGUAGGGAUCAGACAGAUAUCCUUCUUGGACUUCAGUUAACCAGUCAGGUAUACAUACUGACAAAGCACAUGCUUGAAUGUGAUCAUCAGUUGAGCAACGAGACAAAGCAUCUGCAGCUCUAUUAUCUAACCCACGCUUGUAGACUAACCGAUAAUUCAGUCCCAAUAAUUUCGUCAUUGCCUUCUGCUGCCAAGGCGUAGCCAACUUUUGAUCACCGAGAUGAAUCAGACUACGCUGAUCAGUACGGAUGACAAACUCCCCAAACUGAAGAUAAGAGCGCCAGCGAUCCACUGCCAAAAGAAUAGCUAGACACUCCUUUUCAUAUAUUGAUAAACCGCGAUUGCGAGGUCCCAAGGCCUUACUCAAGAACGCCAAUGGAUGGCCUGCCUGCAUCAAGACUGCCCCAACACCUUUGUCAGACGCGUCAGUUUCAAUCUCAAAAGGCUUACUGAAAUCAGGAAUCGCCAGCACUGGUGCAGAAGUUAAGGCUGAUUUCAAAGCUUCAAAUGCUUGCUGAUGAGAUAUAGUCCAGACAAAAACAACAUUCUUCUUAAGCAGAUCUGUCAACGGACGACUGAUUACACCAAAGUGCCGAACAAAUUUGCGAUAAUAACCUGCCAGGCCAAGAAAUCCCCGUACCUCCUUUACAUUAGUUGGAACUGGCCAUCGUUGCACAGCAAGAAUAUUUUUUGGAUCAGUACUGACACCAGCAUGGCUAAUAACAUGGCCCAAGUAAAUCAAACUUGAUUGAGCAAAUGAACACUUAGAGCGCUUCACCUUAAGUUGAUGUUCAGUCAACAAUUGGAAAACCUGACGUAAUAAUUGCACAUGUUCUGUCAAGGUUGCACUGUAAAUCAGAAUGUCAUCUAUGAAAACAAGCACUCCCUUCCGGAGCAAAGGGGAUAACACUGUAUUCAUGACACCUUGGAAAGUAGCGGGUGCACCAGUUAAUCCAUAAGACAUAACCCGAAACUCGUAAUGUCCAUGAUGCGUUUUGAACGCAGUUUUAUGUUCAUCUUCUGGUCGCAUACGGAUUUUAUGAUAACCCGCCCUUAAAUCCAAACUAGUGAAUAUAGUUGCUCCUGCCAGAUCAUCAAGUAACUCAUCAAUCACUGGAAGAGGAUAUCGAUUCUUGACUGUUAUAGCAUUAAGGUGGCGAUAGUCGAUACAGAACCUCCAUGUCAAGUCCUUCUUGAGGACCAACAAUACUGGAGAUGAGAACGGGCUGGAGCUGGGUUGGAUAACACCCUGACGCAACAUUUCAGUCACUUGACGCUCAAUCUCAUCCUUUUGUGCUGGAUUAUAACGAUAAGGACGAAGAUUGACAGGUUUUGCACCAGGCAACAGUGGUAUAGAAUGAUCAAAAUCACGCUGUGGUGGCAGACCUUGAGGUUCCUCAAAAACAGAAGCAAAUUCUUGUAGCAAUGAGUCAAUAACAGCUGGUAUAUCUGAACUAGGUGCAAUAGUAUCCAACAAACACAGUUCCACAGUCUGAACCACCGCAUUACGACUGACCAGCCCUCGCACCUGAGAUGCAGAAAUUGCCGGACAAUGAACAGUGUUAAGUUGUACCCCCUUAAGACAAACAGACUGCUGCUCUUGCUGAAAUAACAGAGUUUUGGCUCGCCAAUCCACCUGCAUUGGACUAUGUUUCACAAGCCAAUCCAUACCCAGUAUAACGUCAUAACUACCCAGAGGCAAAAUCUUGAGAUCUGAACGAAAAGUGUAUCCUUGCACCCACCAUUCACAAUCAGCAAUUUCUUGAGAACAGUGCAGAACUCCGCCAUCGGCCACGCACACCUUGACAGCAGGAAUAGCAGCCCGGCCCCCUUGCAAUUUAUUAGCCAAACCUUCAGAUAUAAAGCUAUGCGCGAGCUCCCUGAAUCAACCAGCAUCAGAACCUCAUGUUUCUGAAUGAAACCCUGCAGCCGUAGAGUUCCUGAAGCCUCAAUACCCAUCAUUGCUUCCUUAGAGAUCUGACAGAUUUCUCCUUCAGAAAUUCCUUCUGUUGGGUCUUGCACACUUGACUGCUCAUCUCCAGAAUUAUCCACCGAAGGAGCAGAUAACAUUUCCAAUAAUUCUUCAACAACAUGGAGCUGCACAGUAGGACCACACUUGUGGUCUCGAUUAUAUCUCUCCCCACAAGUAUAACAGAGUCCUUUGGCUCGGCAGUAAGCACGCAAGGCUGACAGCUUAUCCUCAGCCAUUGAUGCCCUGGAUUCUUCAGUAAUGCGCCAUUCAUCAGGUUUGUUGCCCAGACUUGUGUUCUGACGAACAGUAGAAACUGAUGUCAGAGAAUUUGGUCUUGCCACCGUACGAACUCCCCCAGCAAAAUCACUGCGUCGCAUUUCCUUGCGCAGCACCUCCAAUACUUCCUCCUGCAAACAUGCCAAAUCGACAGCAGUAUCGAGGUCUUGUGGGCGAUGGAGCACUACAGCAGCUCUAAUGUCUGCUCGUAGGCCAUCCAUGAACUGAGUAACAAAGAAAACUGGGUUCCAUGAUGAAUGAUGAGCUUGCAAUUGAUGAAUCAACUCACUAAACCUCUCUGCAUAGCUAGUCACAGUUCCGGUUUGCCUUAACUGAUUAAACUGCCUAUUUAAUCCCUGAAACUCCUCUCUCCCAAACUUCUUACACACUACUUCCGCGAAAUCCUCCCAACACACACACUCAAUAUGAGCAUCAGUGGAUUGUAGCCAAGUAAGCGCUGCCCCCAUAAACUGCAAAGCUGCUACUCCCACCCAAUGAUCAAAAUAGACUCCACUGACUCGAAAAUAGGUUUCGCACUUAAGCUUCCAUGCCCUAGGAUUAUCGCCGUCAAACGAAGGGCAAUCUACCCGCACAGAUCCCCCAUGGUGAUGAACAUGAUGCGAUGACCCAAACCUCCCCGACGAUUCUCCAAACUCAAAUCGAGAAUUAUUUCCAGGACUCGAAUAGAACGUACCCUUGCCCGGGAGAGACGAUGGGAAAUUUUCAUUUCCCAAGGUUUUCCCCCGGUUUGAAGUUGCAGCGCGAUGGCUAAAUAGCCUAGCAUGUUCAUCCACUUGAGGAAGCUUGAGUUCUAGAGAGGGCUUGGGUUCCUCGUCCUUGAUCUCGUUCAGCUUCGGUCCUGGUGGUGUAGGCAGCAACGGAGGCAGAUCCGCAAGCUUGGUCACCCUGGCCGGAGAACGAGAAAUUUGCUCCACUUGCGUGCGCAACUCCGCCAUCUUGUCCCGUAAUUCCGCCACCGUCCGCUCCACUGUUGGCUUCCAUCCAGCCAACUCCACCACCAUCGGCUUGAUUUCUUCCAGCGACCCAACCGAAGUUUGAAUCGCCGUGUUUUGCUUCUGGAUCGCCGCCAUGGCCGCCGCGAGAUCAGCGAGUUGCUGCUCCAUCUCCUGAGCCUUGAGCUGCGCUCGCGAAUGGUAGCGUGGCUUGUUGAGGUACUCCAGGAUUCGAGCGCUCUGAUACCAAUUUGUUACGAUCUAUCCAGCGAAUUCUAGAGGAAGUGGAAGAACAGAGUAAGAACGGGAGGAACAGAGGAGGAAAUGUCAAAAUAGAGAAGAAGGUUUGAUUUGGGGAAUAGUUUUGUGUUUUGUGUUUACACUUUCGACACCCUCUUCUCUCUUAGCCCUCUGGUAUUUAUACACCAUACCAGAACAUCAUUGGACUGUGACCCAUUCUGGCCCACUCACACGGACAUUAGGUUUCUUAGCCCGCGUAGGACGCCGAUAGCUUCUCAGCGGAUUGCCUUUGUCGAUAUCUGCUACAGGCAGCGUAACA
Molecule: long non-coding RNA, 5476 nt
Filed under: Oryza sativa (Asian cultivated rice)
Lineage: Eukaryota; Viridiplantae; Streptophyta; Magnoliopsida; Poales; Poaceae
Description: long non-coding RNA (OSAT_LNC001352)
Source: RNAcentral